Molecule: ribosomal RNA, 520 nt
Filed under: uncultured Glomus
Lineage: Eukaryota; Fungi; Glomeromycota; Glomeromycetes; Glomerales; Glomeraceae
Description: SSU rRNA
Rfam family: Eukaryotic small subunit ribosomal RNA
Source: RNAcentral
AGCAGCCGCGGUAAUUCCAGCUCCAAUAGCGUAUAUUAAAGUUGUUGCAGUUAAAAAGCCCGUAGUUGAAUUUCGGGAUCAAUGCGUCGGUCGUGCUUUCGGGUACGUACUGGUGUCAUUGGUUUCUCCUUUCUGACGAGCCGUGAUGUCAUUAAUUUGGUGUUACGGGUAGUUAGGACUGUUACUUUGAAAAAAUUAGAGUGUUUAAAGCAGGCAUUAGCUUGAAUACAUUAGCAUGGAAUAAUGAAAUAGGACAUUCGAUCCUAUUUUGUUGGUUUCUAGGAUCAACGUAAUGAUUAAUAGGGAUAGUUGGGGGCAUUAGUAUUCAAUUGUCAGAGGUGAAAUUCUUGGAUUUAUUGAAGACUAACUACUGCGAAAGCAUUUGCCAAGGAUGUUUUCAUUAAUCAAGAACGAAAGUUAGGGGAUCGAAGACGAUCAGAUACCGUCGUAGUCUUAACCAUAAACUAUGCCGACUAGGGAUCGGAUGAUGUUAAUUUUUUAAUGACUCAUUCGGCGCCUU